UACCGGCGGUCCAAGUCGCAGCCACAAUUAUUGGGUCUAAAACAUUCGUAGCUUGUUUAGCCAGUUUCCUGUGAAAUCUAACCUCUCAAGGGUUGGGCGCGCAAGAAAUACUGCUAAGCUAGAGACUGGAAGAAGUAAGAAGUACGAUUGAGGUAGUGGUAAAAUAUUUUAAUCUUAAUCGGACUAACAAUAGCGAAGGCAUCUUACUAGUACAGAUCUGACAGUGAGGAAUGAAGGCUAGGGUCGCAAAACGGAUUAGAUACCCGUGUAGUCCUAGCAGUAAACACUGCUCACUAAACAUUGGGAUCUCCUCGAGAGAUUUCAGUGCUGUAGGGAAGCCGAAGAGUGAGCUACCUGGGAAGUAUAGCCGCAAGGCCGAAACUUAAAGGAAUUGGCGGGGGAGCACUACAACGGGUGACGCGUGCGGUUUAAUUAGAUUUUACACCGUGAACCUUACCAGGAUCGAUAGCAGAAUGAAGGUCAGUCUAAAGGGCUUACCUGACACGCUAAGAGGAGUUGCAUGGCCGACGUCAGCCUGUGUUGUGAGAUGACCUGUUAAAUCAGGUAACAGGCGAGACCCAUGUGUAUAGUUACUACGAAAGAGCACACUAUACAGACUGCCUGGGCAACCAGGAGGAAGGUAUGGGCUACGUUAGGUGGGUACAGCCUAAAUACCCUGGGAUACACGCGCGCGGCAAUGUUAGAUACAGCGAGACGCAACUCUGAAAAGAGAAGCAAAUCUCAUAAAAUCUAGCCUAGUUCAGAUUGAAGUUUGUAACUCAACUUCAUGACGAUGGAAUCCGUAGUAAUCGUUUGUUAUCAGCGAACGGUGAAUAAGUCCCUGCUCCU
Molecule: ribosomal RNA, 849 nt
Filed under: uncultured archaeon
Lineage: Archaea
Description: SSU rRNA
Rfam family: Archaeal small subunit ribosomal RNA
Source: RNAcentral